GAUGAACGCUAGCGGCAGGCUAAACACAUGCAAGUCGAGGGGUAGUAUAGCAAUAUAUGAGACCGGCGCACGGGUGCGUAACGCGUGUGCAACCUACCUUGAACAGGGGGAUAGCCCAGAGAAAUUUGGAUUAAUACCCCAUGGUAUUAUUGGAUGGCAUCAUUUGAUAAUUAAAGUUCCAACGGUUCAAGAUGGGCAUG
This 200-nucleotide ribosomal RNA is filed under the name uncultured bacterium. RNAcentral describes it as "partial 16S ribosomal RNA". It matches the Rfam family "Bacterial small subunit ribosomal RNA", at positions 28 to 233 of the family's 1533-position model. The record is from RNAcentral.